GCCCAACAGCUAGCCCCCAAAGCCAGAAGCAACAAAUCACCAUUUAUACCCCUUAAUACACUAAUAUUAUGUUUAACAAACCAUUUUUCCCCCUGAGUAUGUGCGACAGAAAAGGGCCCGUGGAGCAAUAGAGAAAGUACCGCAAGGGAACGCUGAAAGAGAAAUGAAAUAACCCAGUGAAGCCUACAAAAGCAGAGAUAUAACCUCGUACCUUUUGCAUCAUGAUUUAGCCAGCGUAACCCAAGCAAAGUGUGCUUUAGUUUGAUAACCCGAAACUAAGUGAGCUACUCCAAGACAGCCUAUUAAUAGGGCAAACCCGUCUCUGUGGCAAAAGAGUGGGAAGAGCUUUGAGUAGAGGUGACAGACCUACCGAACUUAGUUAUAGCUGGUUGCCUGAGAAUUGAAUAGAAGUUCAGCCUCCCCGAUUCUUUAUUCACCUCAGUAUUACCCCUUCUGAUACCUAAGAAGCGAAGAGAGUUAGUCAAAGGGGGUACAGCCCCUUUGAAUCAAGAUACAACUUUUCCAGGAGGGUAAAGAUCAUAAUUACAGAAGGUACAAUAUUUAGGUGGGCCUAAAAGCAGCCAUCCCCGUAGAAAGCGUUAAAGCUCAAAUAUUCAACUACCCCCUUAUUUGGAUCAUAAAAUCUUAUCCCCCUAAUUUUACCAGGCCGUCCCAUGCAAACAUGGGAGUGACCCUGCUAAAAUGAGUAAUAAGAGAGCCUAUGCCUCUCUCCUUGCACGUGUGUAAAUCGGAACGGACACCCCACCGAACCUUAACGGCCCCAAUCUAAGAGGGUACUGAACAACAGACCAAACAACCAGAAAAACAUUCAACAGCCUAACCGUUAUCCCCACACAGGCGUGCCCACAAGGAAAGACUAAAAGAAAGAGAAGGAACUCGGCAAACACAUCAAGCCUCGCCUGUUUACCAAAAACAUCGCCUCUUGUAAGACUUAAAAAUAAGAGGUCCCGCCUGCCCUGUGACUAUAUGUUUAACGGCCGCGGUAUUUUGACCGUGCGAAGGUAGCGCAAUCACUUGUCUUUUAAAUGGAGACCUGUAUGAAUGGCAUAACGAGGGCUUAACUGUCUCCUCUUUCAAGUCAAUGAAAUUGAUCUCCCCGUGCAGAAGCGGGGAUAAUAACAUAAGACGAGAAGACCCUAUGAAGCUUUAGAUAUAAGACAGAUCACGUUAAACACUCCCUGAUAAGGGACAAAACCAGGUGAAUCCUGUCCUAAUGUCUUUGGUUGGGGCGACCGCGGGGAAACAAAAAACCCCCACGUGGAACGGGAGAACUUCCUCCUACAACUAAGAGCUACUGCUCUAAUUAACAGAAUUUCUGACCAAUAAGAUCCGGCAGCGCCGAUCAACGGACCGAGUUACUCUAGGGAUAACAGCGCAAUCCCCUUUUAGAGCCCAUAUCGACAAGGGGGUUUACGACCUCGAUGUUGGAUCAGGACAUCCUAAUGGUGCAGCCGCUAUUAAGGGUUCGUUUGUUCAACGAUUAAAGUCCUACGUGAUCUGAGUUCAGACCGGAGUAAUCCAGGUCAGUUUCUAUCUAUGAUAUGAUCUUCUCUAGUACGAAAGGACCGAGAAGAAGAGGCCUAUGCCCUGAGCACGCCUCACCCCCACCUACUGAAAACAACUAAAAUAGGCAAGAGGGCAUGCCCCCCUGCCGGAGAAAACGGCAU
RNAcentral lists this ribosomal RNA (1688 nucleotides) under Etheostoma zonale (banded darter). RNAcentral describes it as "16S ribosomal RNA". It matches the Rfam family "Bacterial large subunit ribosomal RNA". Lineage: Eukaryota; Metazoa; Chordata; Actinopteri; Perciformes; Percidae. The record is from RNAcentral.